CAUCUGGAGUAAGGCUCAGAUUUGCAGAUGGAUUUGCCAAGCUGUGGUUAACCAUCAGAAAUCCUCUAUCACCUCAGCCUGUGGCCUUUAGUCGGCACUGCCUUCCUUCUCCAGGGCAUCUCCUCCUUCAAGGCUCUGCUAAGGAACUGCUCUUUACUCCUAAUGAGCUAAGACUGGCUCUGGGGAGACACUCUCUUCUGGGACACUGUUGAUUCCAGUGAAUCACUCAAGCUUAGUUCUGCUAAAGCAAGAGCUGCUCCACCAGGAGGCAGUCGGUCUUCCCCCCAAAAGCCUCAAGGUUUUCUAGAUGCCUUCUUGAGUCUGCUUGUGGCCAACCGCAGACACUUGUAAGGAGCAGAGAAGUCGCCUGGCAGAGACACUCUGAAAUGAGGGAAUAGCGGCUGGUUUCCAAGGAGCAGGAGCUACAGCCAGAAGACGAGGGAGCAGGUCCUGAAAAACACUUCUCCUGAGAGGUCUGCCAUGGCCUCUCUUGGCCUCCAACUUGUGGGCUACAUCCUAGGCCUCCUGGGACUGUUGGGCACCAUGAUUGCCAUGCUUCUCCCCAACUGGCGAACGAGCUCUUACGUCGGCGCCAGCAUCGUGACAGCAGUUGGUUUCUCCAAAGGCCUCUGGAUGGAGUGUGCCACACAGAGCACAGGCAUCACCCAGUGUGACAUCUACAACACCCUCCUAGGCCUACCCGCUGAUAUCCAGGCUGCUCAGGCCAUGAUGGUGACAUCCAGUGCCUUCUCCUCACUGGCCUGCAUUAUCUCUGUGGUGGGCAUGAGAUGCACGAUCUUCUGCAAGGAAUCCCGAGCCAAAGACAGAGUGGCGAUAGCAGGUGGAGUCUUCUUCAUCCUUGGAGGUCUCCUGGGCUUCAUCCCGGUUGCCUGGAAUCUACAUGGGAUCCUUCGGGACUUCUACUCACCACUGGUGCCUGACAGCAUGAAAUUUGAGAUCGGAGAGGCUCUUUACUUGGGCAUUAUUUCCUCUCUGUUCUCCCUGGUAGCUGGCAUCAUCCUCUGCUUCUCUUGCCCAUCCCAGGGAAAUCGCUCCAACUAUGAUGCCUACCAGGCCCAGCCCCUUGCCACUAGGAGCUCUCCAAGGCCUGGCCAACCUCCCAAAGUGAAGAAUGAGUUCAACUCCUACAGCCUAACAGGGUAUGUGUGAAGAAUCAGGGGCCAGAGCUGGGGGGGGUGGCUGGGUCUGUGAAAACCACUGGACAAGUCUCUCCCCCUCCGGCCCCCGCAGGGCUACAGGUGAGGGACACUGCCACUGGAUCAUGUCGGAAGGUGCUGCUGAGGAUAGACUGACUUUGGCCAUUGGGUCGAGUGAAGGCAGAAGUGGGAAAUGGUGUGACAGUAAAAGGGUUCAAUUGUCAAGGAUGCUCGUCAAGCCAGCCUUUCUGUUACCCUCACCUCGUUCCACUGCCCUGAGUUCCCAACCCUCAACUGCAAGCUCCAACCCCUACCUUUGGCCAGGUCUCAGAGGCUCUCCUUGUCUUUUGGUUUGCCUGGGAAUCCAUCCAAACCCUACCGCACUUCCCACUGACUGAACCCUCUCUGGGACCAAAGACCUUUCCUAUGUGGCUGAGAAUGGCUCUGAGCUCAAUCCUGGGGGAGGAAGAGAAAAAGGAAUGGUGGCUUUUAUGCACAUGGCUCUAAACUUCUUUUCCAGCCUCCCUCCAAAGAAACUGAUUGGUCAGUAAUGGGCCCUGAGCCUCCAUUCUACCCCUCCAGUUCUGACUUCAAAGUGUCCAGACUGGUUGGUGCCUGAGCUGAAAUAAAGCCAUCCCACGGCACCCAGGGAAUAGGAAUCAAUUGGGUGCAGAAUGAGAAGAAGGGAAGGCAGCCUGGGGCUAAAAUAAGAUGAGAACCACUUCCCAGGGAAUUUUCCCCAAAUCCCCUCAUACCCGCGGUUCGGGAUUUGCGUCUGCAGCCAGAGGGAAGCAUGAGGAAAGAAGAGCCGGUGGAAAGCUCAAAGCCGCGGCAGGCUGUGAGUCCCCUGAGGAGCUGCCUCACAAGCUGCGAUCCCGACUUUCACUGAAGCCUCUGCCUCCCGCUGCGGUACCUGACCUGGCUUCCUGUCUAACCCACAAGGCUGAAGGCCUUGGACCAUGAUUUCCUUAGGGACUGUGAACCAGAUUUUCUACAAAUGGUCCUUGGCUGGGGUUAGGACGGUGUGGGAGUUGUGGGGGACUGAGGAAGAGGUAUUCUAUGCUAGCCAAGAAAGAAUAAGAACUUCGGUAUGUAAUAAACUGGGCAGGCAUGUGUGGUGACUCUAGUGAGGGUUUCUACUAUGCCGGAAAGAGGUGGUCCCCCAGAGUCGUCAGGUCUAACGGAAAACCAGCUGCAAAGGCUGCAAUCAUGCCCCUCCUCCCAGGGUCUACCCACAGAGCACUACAGAGCUUCUGAAAGCCACAGCACCAGGCAAGUCCCUUGUCACCCUUCAUACCCUCCCUCUCGUCCAUGAGAAGAUAGUCCAGGGUAGCUAGAGGGCACUUGAGGUGCCACCAUAAAACAUCCAUGUCCAAGGUGCUGUGUCCAUGACUCCAGUGAUAAGUAAGCUGCUGCCUGGGCCUGCAGUGGGGGUGGGAGAGUGGAGAACGGUUCCCAGGCAGACAGUUCCACCUCCAAAGUCAGAAAAUGCCCCAUUUCCGCCGGAGUGGAAGUGGGGUAGUCAUAAACCAAAGAUGCUUUCCCUUAACCAGCCUGAGUCUAAGCGACUUCUGAAAAACCCCAGGACACCUCUGCACAUCCCAGUGCCAGCUGCAGAGGUGCACUCACGGUCUCUAACAGGCCUCCGUGUUUCCACCUUCUUGCCUGAUUCGAGCUGUUCUGCCAACCUGGAAGACCCUCGUCCCUUAGCCAAGACCUCCUCAAGCUUGGAGAACUUGCUCAGCACCACACCCUUCACUGAGCCUUCUCUGACCACUCCAUCCCUCACCUACGCCUCCUUCCUUUAACCCUCAGCAUAUAAAUUGCUUCUUGAUGCUCAUCAUUAAACAUUUUUGAUUGAUAGUUAUCUUUGUGUGUGUGUGUGUGUGUGUGUGUGUGUCUCGACAUCACCAUUGUAAGCUUUUCGAGGGACCAUAUCUUAGACGUCUCUGUAUCCGCCCAACUGUUUGUAACAGUGCUGAACACACAGUAGGUGAUCAAUAAAUAUGUUGAUUGAG
Non-coding RNA from Oryctolagus cuniculus (rabbit), 3175 nucleotides. The record is from RefSeq and is a predicted model, not a curated record. NCBI's taxonomy places the organism in Eukaryota, Metazoa, Chordata, Mammalia, Lagomorpha, Leporidae.